Molecule: ribosomal RNA, 568 nt
Filed under: Morchella americana
Lineage: Eukaryota; Fungi; Ascomycota; Pezizomycetes; Pezizales; Morchellaceae
Description: eukaryotic LSU rRNA
Rfam family: Eukaryotic large subunit ribosomal RNA
Source: RNAcentral
AAAAGAAACCAACAGGGAUUGCCUCAGUAACGGCGAGUGAAGCGGCAAAAGCUCAAAUUUUAAAGCUGGCACCUCCGGUGUCCGCGUUGUAAUUUUGUGAGGCAUCUCCGGGUGGGGCGCCGGCCUAAGUUCCUUGGAACAGGACGUCAUAGAGGGUGAGAAUCCCGUGCUUGGCUGGCUGUCCCCGUCCAUGUGAGGUGUCUUCGACGAGUCGAGUUGUUUGGGAAUGCAGCUCAAAAUGGGUGGUAAAUUUCAUCUAAAGCUAAAUAUUGGUGGGAGACCGAUAGCGCACAAGUAGAGUGAUCGAAAGAUGAAAAGCACUUUGAAAAUAGAGUUAAAAAGUACGUGAAAUUGUUGAAAGGGAAGCGCUUGAGACCAGACUUCGGUGGGGAGUGAUCAGCCGUCCUUCUGGGCGGUGCACUUGCCCCCCUCCGGGCCAGCAUCGGUUGGGACGGCGGGAUAAAGGUCCCGGGAAUGUGGCUCCUCUCGGGGAGUGUUAUAGCCCGGGUGAAUGCCGCCAGCCCCGACCGAGGACCGCGCCUUCGGGCUAGGAUGCUUGGCAUAAUGG